RNAcentral lists this ribosomal RNA (253 nucleotides) under uncultured bacterium. Its description in RNAcentral is "partial 16S ribosomal RNA". It matches the Rfam family "Bacterial small subunit ribosomal RNA", at positions 524 to 776 of the family's 1533-position model. The record is from RNAcentral.
UACGUAGGUGGCAAGCGUUGUCCGGAUUUACUGGGCGUAAAGCGCGCGCAGGCGGCCCAUCCCGUCUGGGGCGAAAUCUCCCGGCUCAACCGGGAGGCGUCUCUAGAUACCGAUGGGCUUGAGGAGAGCAGAGGAGAGUAGAAUUCCCGGUGUAGCGGUGAUAUGCGUAGAUAUCGGGAGGAAUACCAGUGGCGAAGGCGACUCUCUGGGCUCUUCCUGACGCUCAGGCGCGAAAGCGUGGGGAGCAAACCGG